GAGGGUAUAGCUCAGUGGUAGAGUGCAUGCUUAGCAUGCACAAGGUCCUGGGUUCAAUCCCCAGUACUUCUG
RNAcentral lists this transfer RNA (72 nucleotides) under Camelus bactrianus (Bactrian camel). It matches the Rfam family "tRNA". Rfam says of the family: Transfer RNA (tRNA) molecules are approximately 80 nucleotides in length. The record is from Rfam by way of RNAcentral. Lineage: Eukaryota; Metazoa; Chordata; Mammalia; Artiodactyla; Camelidae. RNAcentral also lists the same sequence under 1 other name.